This 253-nucleotide ribosomal RNA is filed under the name uncultured bacterium. Its description in RNAcentral is "partial 16S ribosomal RNA". It matches the Rfam family "Bacterial small subunit ribosomal RNA", at positions 524 to 776 of the family's 1533-position model. The record is from RNAcentral.
UACGAAGGGGGCUAGCGUUGCUCGGAAUCACUGGGCGUAAAGGGUGCGUAGGCGGGUCUUUAAGUCAGGGGUGAAAUCCUGGAGCUCAACUCCAGAACUGCCUUUGAUACUGGGGAUCUCGAGUCCGGAAGAGGUGAGUGGAACUGCGAGUGUAGAGGUGAAAUUCGUAGAUAUUCGCAAGAACACCAGUGGCGAAGGCGGCUCACUGGUCCGGUACUGACGCUGAGGUGCGAAAGCGUGGGGAGCAAACAGG